GCGGUGAGUGCCGUGGCGACUGCCGGGGCCGAUAACCUUCUGGGAGCCGGCCGCCAGCGGGAUGCAAGGACCUCAGCUAGUGUGCCACGCGGGCCAGCUAUGCAGGGGACAGGGCCUGGGAAACUUCGACCUGGGUUCGUUUCCGAGUCUGCCGCGGGACCUCAGCGUCCUCGCCUGUUUAAUGGGACACUGCCGUGAAAACGGACAUGCAACGCCGGGACCUUCCGAGGCCUGCAGGCCCGAGCACGACUAGUCGAGAAACUCCUUGGGCGGCGAAAGGGCGCCCUCGUAGCGCUCUCGCCUGUCCUGCCUGCGCGCCCACCUGGAGGUGGCCUCUGGGGCUUCCGGUCUCCGGAGAACACGCGGGAAUGAGAGGGUCUGAGCGCGCCGCGCGCUUCCGGCAGGGCCGGGCGCUGUGCUGGGUGAGAGGAGACCGAACUUCAAAGCAGGCGGGCAGAGGGGCGAGGGGCUCCGCCAAGCCCCGGGGCCCUCACCUUCCGGCGGGCUGAGGGAGGGCUCGCCGGAGCAGCGCCAGGCUGCGAGGGAGGUGCCGGGACCCGCUGAGAACUUCCGGGCCCUGCGGGCCUGGUGGCGGGGACUCCAGCCACAGUGCAGAGGUGCGCAAGUCGGGCCCGGGCGACUCUGGGGAGGGGACCCCGAGCUGGACCCGUGGGCCUCGGAGCAGAGAGCGGGGCUGAGGGCAGGGAGUGUGCGGAUGCCCCGGAGUUCGAGCCCGUGGUCGUGGCGGGUAGCUGUGGGGUAGGGUGGUGGGGAGAGCUGAGCGGACGUGGCCCACCCGUCUCCUGACGUUCGCGGUGGGCGGGGCCCCUUGGUCCUUGCAGCGUCCUGUGGGCGACUUCUCCCUGCCCUUCCCCAGGGCCUCAGGGCGGUUUAGACUGUCCUCCUGGAUCCGGCCAGGCCUGAGACUUCUUCACUGUGGGGCCGACUUUCCUCCUUUAGGGCCUCCGGCAAGACCCUGUGCCACGUUUCGCCGCCCUUUUCGUCCUGUGUUGCCAGGUUCUGCAGUACAGCCACUGAUUGCAGUGAAUGCGUGUCCGUGGAGGGACCUUACCUGGGGAGGAUGCCAGCGUCUGUCACUGGUGAAACUUGGUGAUACAGAAGCCAGGGGAUUCCACUGCUCCUGUGUGUUUCAGUUUAUCCUUAGGAUCUAAAUUUAACCAUCGUUAAGCAGAGACCCAAACCCCAGGGCUGCUGACUCCUAGUCCAGUGCUCGUGAUGGCUGGUGGGCCCUGAACUAGGGGUCUGGAGGCCUAGGUUUGAAUAUCACCAGCCUUCGACCCAGCCAGGUGGCUCAUGGGAUGCGUUGGGGAGACUGUGAAAGGUCGGAGCACAACAAGACACUGAGUCAGGAAAAAAUAUUACAUAAAAACUGAUAAGACAAGGACAGUCUGUUUUGCUUUAUUUUUUAAGAGAACAUGUGUGCCUUUAAGUGGGUACUGUGCCUGGGGUGGUAGCACUGAGCUCUGCCUCCCUGGGGGUCUUGGGAAGGGGCCAAGCAGCAGCCUGGUACACAGUAGACAAACCAUGGCUGAGCUCAGAAACCCUGCAGGGAGGCCUCAUGGGAGCCCCCUGCAAGGAUCCAGGUGAGGCCUGCAGGCCUCUAGCUGUGGCCCUGCCAGGACAGCAGGAC
This 1651-nucleotide long non-coding RNA is filed under the name Marmota monax (woodchuck). The stretch from base 1196 to 1286 matches the Rfam family "mir-345 microRNA precursor family". The record is from RNAcentral. Lineage: Eukaryota; Metazoa; Chordata; Mammalia; Rodentia; Sciuridae.